UUUGGUUAAGUUAGAAAGGGCGCACGGUGGAUGCCUUGACACUAGGAGUCGAUGAAGGACGGGACUAACGCCGAUAUGCUUCGGGGAGCUGUAAGUAAGCUUUGAUCCGAAGAUUUCCGAAUGGGGAAACCCACCAUACGUAAUGGUAUGGUAUCCUUAUCUGAAUACAUAGGAUAAGGAAGACAGACCCAGGGAACUGAAACAUCUAAGUACCUGGAGGAAGAGAAAGCAAAUGCGAUUUCCUGAGUAGCGGCGAGCGAAACGGAACAUAGCCCAAACCAAGAGGCUUGCCUCUUGGGGUUGUAGGACAUUCUAUACGGAGUUACAAAGGAACGAGGUAGACGAAGCGACCUGGAAAGGUCCGUCGUAGAGGGUAACAACCCCGUAGUCGAAACUUCGUUCUCUCUUGAAUGUAUCCUGAGUACGGCGGAACACGUGAAAUUCCGUCGGAAUCUGGGAGGACCAUCUCCCAAGGCUAAAUACUCCCUAGUGAUCGAUAGUGAACCAGUACCGUGAGGGAAAGGUGAAAAGCACCCCGGAAGGGGAGUGAAAGAGAUCCUGAAACCGUGUGCCUACAAAUAGUCAGAGCCCGUUAACGGGUGAUGGCGUGCCUUUUGUAGAAUGAACCGGCGAGUUACGAUCCCGUGCGAGGUUAAGCUGAAGAGGCGGAGCCGCAGCGAAAGCGAGUCUGAAUAGGGCGUUUAGUACGUGGUCGUAGACCCGAAACCAGGUGAUCUACCCAUGUCCAGGGUGAAGUUCAGGUAACACUGAAUGGAGGCCCGAACCCACGCA
This 792-nucleotide ribosomal RNA is filed under the name Bacillus anthracis (anthrax bacterium). RNAcentral describes it as "bacterial LSU rRNA". It matches the Rfam family "Bacterial large subunit ribosomal RNA", at positions 1 to 786 of the family's 2925-position model. The record is from RNAcentral. Lineage: Bacteria; Bacillati; Bacillota; Bacilli; Caryophanales; Bacillaceae.